Molecule: long non-coding RNA, 855 nt
Organism: Pogoniulus pusillus (Red-fronted tinkerbird)
Lineage: Eukaryota; Metazoa; Chordata; Aves; Piciformes; Lybiidae
Exons: 3
Source: RefSeq, a predicted model, not a curated record
UUUUCUGACUCAGUUCUUGAGGGCUGCCUUCCUCAAGAAGGCUGAGAUCAUUGUCUGGAGUCCAACUGUCCCUGUGGCAGUGCGGCAGCGCUUGGUAGAUGGAGUCUUUUUUCCCCCCUCGGCUGGAGUAGGUGUGGGGCCUGAAGCGACCUCCCUCACCAGGCUGGCUGCUCUCAUGAGAGAAGUGAGGGAGGCCUGAGUGCAGCCACAGCCUCAGCGGCCUCUUCAAACCCCUCAGGAGCGCAGGGAUCUGCACUGAAGAAGGCCAAACAGGAGGGAACAUGAGAAUGCAUCACUUCCAGAGGAUGCAAUUGGACUAGGGCUGACCCUGGGAAAUUAGAUCCAUCACUGUAACUUAGAAAAGGUGCUGAAGACUAACCCAAAGAACAUGCUUUUCUCAGAGAGGAGGGGAAGAAACACCAAGGAGAACUGAUUGUCUUUCACACCCUAAAGCAGAUUUUUGGAGCCCUUGAUCCCAAUUCAAAUGUACUUGUAUAAAUUUGCUGUUUCCCAGUAACAGUCAAACAUGUAUUUUAUAAUACAAAACCUUAUCAGUGCAAGAGAUUCCUUCUCAAACUACUCUUCCACUUAAGCAACCUGCAGUUAGCUUUAAUAUCAGAAAGUUUUCAAUCUUAAUAGUGAGGAUAAAAACUGGACCACAUUUCUCCCCCUGCAAUUUCUGAUACCUUAGUUUGUUAAAGAAUAUAAUUUGUUUUAAUGUGCAAAUAAGGCAGCUUUUUAUUUAGAAGCUAAUUAUAGCAGAAAUCUGUAACACAAGGUUGUGUUUUGUGGCUGUUAAAUUGUUUCCUAAGCAUAAUUGUUAAACCUAGAUCAACAGACCACAUGUUUAUGUAA